RNAcentral lists this unclassified non-coding RNA (347 nucleotides) under soil metagenome. RNAcentral describes it as "partial contains 5.8S ribosomal RNA, internal transcribed spacer 2, and large subunit ribosomal RNA". The stretch from base 1 to 120 matches the Rfam family "5.8S ribosomal RNA", at positions 35 to 154 of the family's 154-position model. The record is from RNAcentral.
GAUGAAGAACGCAGCGAAAUGCGAUAAGUAAUGUGAAUUGCAGAAUUCAGUGAAUCAUCGAGUCUUUGAACGCACAUUGCGCCCCCUGGUAUUCCGGGGGGCAUGCCUGUCCGAGCGUCAUUGCUGCCCUCAAGCACGGCUUGUGUGUUGGGCCCCGUCCUCCGAUCCCGGGGGACGGGCCCGAAAGGCAGCGGCGGCACCGCGUCCGGUCCUCGAGCAUAUGGGGCUUUGUCACCCGCUCUGUAGGCCCGGCCGGCGCUUGCCGAUCAACCCAAAUUUUUUAUCCAGGUUGACCUCGGAUCAGGUAGGGAUACCCGCUGAACUUAAGCAUAUCAAUAAGCGGAGGA